CGCAUUGUUCAGAGAUAAGUAGUGGAUUUGUAUCUAGACGACACGGUGCGACACCUUCGUUCAACUUUUCAUCCACGCGAAGUAUGUGGAUAUAUUAAAAGCCGCACAAUUUCAGAUACGUUCUGGGGCUGGUUCCCUGCACUUUUCGGUAGAUUGGAAAGAUGAAAAUAAGCGUGCAGUGCAUUUCAUAAGACUGAACCAAGGAAAAUUCCGCUAAAGCUUUCUCUAAACCGCUCAACAUCCCAGCAUAAAGAAAUUCUCACGACAUAUAUGGCAGAUCGACGAAGACAGGCCUAAACUUUGUAAUGACUACAAGUUGGAAACUCUACCAAUCUCUCUAUCAGAGAAGGUGGUUUGGUUUGAAUGCAGCUACGUACUAUGCACCUGACUUGGCUAUCUACCUUUGUACCAGGUUUGAGUCAGAUGCAAAAGCGCAUGUGCGGUCACUAUAUCUUUAUGUUAUGCAUAAUUAAGUUCGUAGUAAAGUGCAUUCAGUAAAAAGUACAAGUGGCAAUGUAGAUCGCGCUCAAAUGUUAUUCAAUAUAGAAUUGAUACCUAGA
Hermetia illucens (black soldier fly) is the source of this 560-nucleotide long non-coding RNA. RefSeq lists it as uncharacterized. Lineage: Eukaryota; Metazoa; Arthropoda; Insecta; Diptera; Stratiomyidae. The transcript has 2 exons. The record is from RefSeq and is a predicted model, not a curated record.